RNAcentral lists this ribosomal RNA (330 nucleotides) under uncultured eukaryote. RNAcentral describes it as "partial 18S ribosomal RNA". It matches the Rfam family "Eukaryotic small subunit ribosomal RNA", at positions 1470 to 1796 of the family's 1831-position model. The record is from RNAcentral.
CCCUUAGAUGUUCUGGGCCGCACGCGCGCUACACUGAUGCAUUCAACGAGUCUAAAACCUGGUCUGAUAGGGCUGGGUAAUCUUUUGAAAGUGCAUCGUGAUUGGGAUAGAUGAUUGCAAUUCUUCAUCUUCGACGAGGAAUGCCUAGUAAACGCAAGUCAUCAGCUUGCAUUGAUUACGUCCCUGCCCUUUGUACACACCGCCCGUCGCUCCUACCGAUUGAAUGAUCCGAUGAAUACCAUGGAUUGAGAGUUCGAAUAGGUUCGCCUAUUUCAGCUCCUCGAGAAGUGGAGUAAAUCUUAUCAUUUAGAGGAAGGAGAAGUCGUAACA